UACAGGGGGUGCAAACGUUGCUCGGAAUUAUUGGGCGUAAAGCGCACGUAGGCGGUCUGUUAUGUCGGAUGUGAAAGCCCUUGGCUCAACUGAGGAAGUGCAUUCGAAACUUCUGAGCUUGAGUUCUGGAGAGGAAGGCGGAAUUCUCGGUGUAGAGGUGAAAUUCGUAGAUAUCGAGAGGAACACCGGUGGCGAAGGCGGCCUUCUGGACAGUGACUGACGCUGAGACGCGAAAGCGUGGGGAGCAAACAGG
RNAcentral lists this ribosomal RNA (253 nucleotides) under uncultured bacterium. RNAcentral's name for it is "partial 16S ribosomal RNA". It matches the Rfam family "Bacterial small subunit ribosomal RNA", at positions 524 to 776 of the family's 1533-position model. The record is from RNAcentral.